AGCUCUGAUUCAGAUGUAUAUUAGCUCAGCUAAGCGAUGUACUGGGGAUUUUGGCAUUCCCCUUCCUCAUGACAGCAAAAUCUGGGCAAAGUUGAAAGUUGCAAGAUUCCAGUCAAACAAUUAUCCUUGCUUGGGUAAAUAUCAUCAAAUGAAACAAAUGUGAGUGAGUUACAAAGCCACUAGACGCAUCAUCUCCUAGAAGACCAGCGUUCUCGUAAUCAUGGAGGCCUCUCUGUCCUUUCUGUGACUGGAGCAAUGCUGACCUCGGUUUCCUGGACCCAUUCUGACUCAGGAGCCUUCACGUAAAUGGGUCCAGUCAUGCCUCCCAGUAAGAAGCCAGAAAGCUCAGGAAUUAGUGUCUCCAGUGGGCUGAGUCAGUGUUACCGGGGCAGCGGUUUCUCCAAGGCCCUUCAGGAAGACGAUGACCUCGACUUUUCUCUGCCUGACAUCCGAUUAGAAGAGGGGGCCAUGGAAGAUGAAGAGCUGACCAACCUGAACUGGCUGCACGAGAGCAAGAACCUGCUGAAGAGCUUCGGGGACUCGGUCCUGCGGAGCGUCAGCCCCGUCCAGGACCUGGACGAUGACACGCCCCCAUCCCCUGCCCACUCUGACAUGCCCUACGAUGCCAGGCAGAACCCCAACUGCAAACCCCCCUACUCCUUCAGCUGCCUCAUAUUUAUGGCCAUCGAGGACUCGCCAACCAAGCGCCUGCCGGUAAAGGAUAUCUACAACUGGAUCUUGGAACAUUUUCCGUAUUUUGCAAACGCACCUACUGGGUGGAAAAACUCAGUGCGACAUAAUUUGUCCUUGAAUAAGUGUUUUAAGAAAGUGGACAAAGAGAGGAGUCAGAGUAUCGGGAAAGGGUCAUUGUGGUGCAUAGACCCAGAGUAUAGACAAAAUCUAAUUCAGGCUUUGAAAAAGACACCUUAUCACCCACACUCGAAUGUGUUCAAUACACCUCCCGCCUCUCCUCAGGCAUAUCAAAGCACAUCAGGUCCACCCCUCUGGCCGGGCAGCACCUUCUUCAAGAGAAAUGGAGCCCUUCUACAAGCAUAAAAGCAAUUGCAAGAAUUAACUGGAAGCGCUCGAGGUCCUGUUGAGGGCGGCCUCUGUGUUUCGGUUCUCGCAGAUUCACUGGCAAGAGGGCCUGCUGAAUCAUCUUGCAGUUUUGAGGAUAAUGGGCCCCCUGGAUGAGCUAAUGAAAUGGAAAGAAGACCUUCCAGGCCUUUUCAGUGCACAGAGCAGGACUGAGCUGCCGCAGGCCCGAGAGCAGAUAGGGGAAAGGAAACCAGCUCUUCUGCUGUCAGAUGCACGUUGUCCCCAUGAGCGCACAGAUGUGCUUGCCACUGGUGUGAAACGUGCAGGAAGUUGAUUAUGCCCAGUAGAUGACCUGCUUUGGGGAAUGCCAGCUUCCCAAGUUCUAGGCCGGCUUCAUGCGCUUAUUUUCCUGGGAGUCCUAUUAUGUAUUGCCCGCUCUCCACAACCCUUAUGCCUUACCCUCUCCCAUAGCUCCGCAGUGGGUUUUUUCUGGUAAAAUGUAUGCAGUACCUCCCUUUGGUUGUGUUUGGGGCUGUGAAAGUCUCAGCAGCAAGUAGUCAGUACAUCAGAAACAAGCUCCUGUGGAAAGGAGCCCUGGAUUACCAGUGAGGGGACCUGGCUGUGGUCCCAACUCUGCCACUUGGUAAACUCUGACCUUGGGCAAAACUCAGGCACCCCUAGGAUUUCAUGUUCUUGCCUGUGAAUUAAGGAGCGGACCUCAGGAGUGGCAGGGGUUUCCUGCGGAUUACAGCUCUGAGCCAUACUCGCAACUUCCCUAGAGGGGGUCAAGGGCUUUCCUGGUGGUCCAGUGGUUAAGACUCCGUGCUUCCACUGCAGGGUGCACAGGUUUGAUCCUUGGUCGGGGAAGAUCCUGCAUGCUGCGUGGUGCGACCAAAAAAAAAAAAGACAAGAAAAAAUGAAAUAUAGUAAAGUGGGUCAAAAUGGUUUCGAGGCGUAGCUCAGCGGGAGGAGUGCUACCUUCAGCCAGCAGUGUCCGCGGAUGGCCCAAGGAGAGGAAACAGGGUGAUGGUUGGCUGGCUACAUCUUGAUCCUUGAACAAACCCUUUCUCAGACCCUUUCUCAUGGAUCGUAGGAAGGCAACAUACUACAGAUUUGGACAACCUGGAAAGGACCCAUCUUGGCCUCGUGGGCACCUGGCUUAACCCUCUCUGUGGGGAUAAUAAUAAACAUGCUUGCCGUAUGGGGUUCUUAUAGGACUCAAUGAAUUCAUAUCAGUAAAGCCCUGAGAACAGGCUGAAUUCCCAUAGUUAUUAUAUCAUUGUACAAAACUAUGAAUCUUAGGAAAACAGGGCUAGCAUCCUCUGAAUGUGGUGUCCCUGUGCUGUUUCUCUUCGCUGCUAAAAUUUCCCUUGUCCAUUUGUUGGGGCUAGUGAUUCUCAGAACAGGGCAAAAGAUGGGAUACCCCGGAUCCUAUUGGAUUUAUAUGUGGAUCUGAAAGACAACUUGUUCAACUCUUUAUAUCAGAUUCCUUUCAAAUAGGACUGCUUCCGUGUGAGGUCCCCCAGCUCACAAAGACUGAGUUAUACCCCUUGCUGUACAGUUGUACAUACCCAGCAGGUGCAUAGAUGACCACGCAACAAAGCACGGAUUCAGCACCACAUCAGCCCAGGUUUAAAUCCCUCUCUCUUUGGGCACCCAGUUGUUUGACCUUGGGCCUCAGUUUCAAGUGUCUGUAAAAUGGGGCUACGAGUUGUGCUCCCCAGAAUCUUUGCAGAGAUUAAAGGAAGGUGUGAACGUGGAAACAUUUGUCCAGUCCAGUGCCUGGCCUGGCACCUCACAAACACUUAAUAAAGAGUGAAGUUAACCUU
RNA transcript from Balaenoptera acutorostrata (minke whale), 2867 nucleotides. It is a transcript of the gene named forkhead box protein N3, with no coding region annotated. The transcript has 7 exons. The record is from RefSeq and is a predicted model, not a curated record. NCBI's taxonomy places the organism in Eukaryota, Metazoa, Chordata, Mammalia, Artiodactyla, Balaenopteridae.